GGCCUAACACAUGCAACGUCGAACGGUGGCAGGAGUAAGCUUGCUGCUUCGCUGACGAGUGGCGGACGGGUGAGUAAUGUCUGGGAAACUGCCUGAUGGAGGGGGAUAACUACUGGAAACGGUGGCUAAUACCGCAUAACGUCGCAAGACCAAAGAGGGGGACCUUCGGGCCUCUUGCCAUCAGAUGUGCCCAGAUGGGAUUAGCUUGUUGGUGAGGUAACGGCUCACCAAGGCGACGAUCCCUAGCUGGUCUGAGAGGAUGACCAGCCACACUGGAACUGAGACACGGUCCAGACUCCUACGGGAGGCAGCAGUGGGGAAUAUUGCACAAUGGGCGCAAGCCUGAUGCAGCCAUGCCGCGUGUAUGAAGAAGGCCUUCGGGUUGUAAAGUACUUUCAGCGGGGAGGAAGGUGUUGUGGUUAAU
Molecule: ribosomal RNA, 424 nt
Filed under: Salmonella enterica subsp. enterica serovar Kentucky
Lineage: Bacteria; Pseudomonadati; Pseudomonadota; Gammaproteobacteria; Enterobacterales; Enterobacteriaceae
Description: bacterial SSU rRNA
Rfam family: Bacterial small subunit ribosomal RNA
Source: RNAcentral